RNAcentral lists this ribosomal RNA (498 nucleotides) under uncultured bacterium. Its description in RNAcentral is "partial 16S ribosomal RNA". It matches the Rfam family "Bacterial small subunit ribosomal RNA", at positions 30 to 523 of the family's 1533-position model. The record is from RNAcentral.
AUUGAACGCUGGCGGCAUGCUUUACACAUGCAAGUCGAUCGGUAACAGGCCGCAAGGUGCUGACGAGUGGCGAACGGGUGAGUAAUGCAUCGGAACGUGCCCAGUCGUGGGGGAUAACGCAGCGAAAGCUGUGCUAAUACCGCAUACGAUCUAUGGAUGAAAGCGGGGGACCGUAAGGCCUCGCGCGAUUGGAGCGGCCGAUGUCAGAUUAGGUAGUUGGUGGGGUAAAGGCUCACCAAGCCAACAAUCGGUAGCUGGUCUGAGAGGACGACCAGCCACACUGGGACUGAGACACGGCCCAGACUCCUACGGGAGGCAGCAGUGGGGAAUUUUGGACAAUGGGCGCAAGCCUGAUCCAGCAAUGCCGCGUGCAGGAAGAAGGCCUUCGGGUUGUAAACUGCUUUUGUACGGAACGAAAAGGUUUGGGUUAAUACCCUGGGCCGAUGACGGUACCGUAAGAAUAAGCACCGGCUAACUACGUGCCAGCCGCCGCCGUAA